This 326-nucleotide ribosomal RNA is filed under the name Staphylococcus aureus. RNAcentral describes it as "bacterial SSU rRNA". It matches the Rfam family "Bacterial small subunit ribosomal RNA", at positions 1 to 315 of the family's 1533-position model. Lineage: Bacteria; Bacillati; Bacillota; Bacilli; Caryophanales; Staphylococcaceae. The record is from RNAcentral.
UUUUAUGGAGAGUUUGAUCCUGGCUCAGGAUGAACGCUGGCGGCGUGCCUAAUACAUGCAAGUCGAGCGAACGGACGAGAAGCUUGCUUCUCUGAUGUUAGCGGCGGACGGGUGAGUAACACGUGGAUAACCUACCUAUAAGACUGGGAUAACUUCGGGAAACCGGAGCUAAUACCGGAUAAUAUUUUGAACCGCAUGGUUCAAAAGUAAAAGACGGUCUUGCUGUCACUUAUAGAUGGAUCCGCGCUGCAUUAGCUAGUUGGUAAGGUAACGGCUUACCAAGGCAACGAUGCAUAGCCGACCUGAGAGGGUGAUCGGCCACACUG